UUCCUCCCCACUAGACGCUAUUACGUUCAAAAUCUAAAGACAUGUCACACAUUGACGCGGUUUAUAACAAGCACGCGAAUUUCCUCCGCCCCCUUAACAUGAUCUAUAUAGGGACGAAAUUAAAAUUCAUAUUAUUACUAUCCACACUUAAGCAGUAUCGGUAAAAGUCGUAACCGGUGAUCGAAUGAUAUAAAAAUAUGUCGA
This is a non-coding RNA of Cinara cedri, 204 nucleotides long. Lineage: Eukaryota; Metazoa; Arthropoda; Insecta; Hemiptera; Aphididae. The record is from the annotation of a GenBank genome assembly.